Molecule: ribosomal RNA, 689 nt
Filed under: uncultured Microbacteriaceae bacterium
Lineage: Bacteria; Bacillati; Actinomycetota; Actinomycetes; Micrococcales; Microbacteriaceae
Description: bacterial SSU rRNA
Rfam family: Bacterial small subunit ribosomal RNA
Source: RNAcentral
GUGGCGAACGGGUGAGUAACACGUGAGCAAUCUGCCCUUGACUCUGGGAUAACUGCGGGAAACUGUAGCUAACACCGGAUACUUUCCUCGCUGGGCAUCCAGCGGGGAAGAAAGAAUUUCGGUCAAGGAUGAGCUCGCGGCCUAUCAGCUAGUUGGUGAGGUAAUGGCUCACCAAGGCGACGACGGGUAGCCGGCCUGAGAGGGUGACCGGCCACACUGGAACUGAGACACGGUCCAGACUCCUACGGGAGGCAGCAGUGGGGAAUAUUGCACAAUGGGCGAAAGCCUGAUGCAGCAACGCCGCGUGAGGGAUGAAGGCCUUCGGGUUGUAAACCUCUUUUAGCAGGGAAGAAGCGAAAGUGACGGUACCUGCAGAAAAAGCACCGGCUAACUACGUGCCAGCAGCCGCGGUAAUACGUAGGGUGCAAGCGUUGUCCGGAAUUAUUGGGCGUAAAGAGCUCGUAGGCGGUUUGUCACGUCUGCUGUGAAAAUCCGAGGCUCAACCUCGGACUUGCAGUGGGUACGGGCAGGCUAGAGUGCGGUAGGGGAGAAGGGAAUUCCUGGUGUAGCGGUGGAAUGCGCAGAUAUCAGGAGGAACACCAAUGGCGAAGGCACUUCUCUGGGCCGUAACUGACGCUGAGGAGCGAAAGCGUGGGGAGCGAACAGGAUUAGAUACCCUGGUAGUCCAC